This 840-nucleotide ribosomal RNA is filed under the name Triticum aestivum (bread wheat). RNAcentral describes it as "partial small subunit ribosomal RNA". The record is from RNAcentral. Lineage: Eukaryota; Viridiplantae; Streptophyta; Magnoliopsida; Poales; Poaceae.
AUGGAGCGAGGCCACCCGGAGGCGUCGCGUCGGAUGCUACGCCGUAUCCGCGGCACCGACGACAUCGGCGAGGAGUACGCGGACCUAGUGGCGGCGAGGGAAAUAUCAAAGCAAGUACAGCAUCUGUGGCGCAACAUCCUGAUGCGCAAGUACCGCGCGCAGCUCACCAUGGCUGUGCUCAUCCCCUUCUUCCAGCAGGUCUCCGGCAUCAACGUCAUCAACUUCUAUGCGCCGGUGCUAUUCGAGACCCUAGGUUUCAAGGGAGACGCGUCGCUUCUCUCGUCGGUGAUGACUGGCGGCGUCCUCGUGCUCGGGUCGAUGGUGUCGAUGUUCACCGUCGACAGGCUGGGGCGGAGGAAGUUGUUCCUGCAAGGCGGCGCGCAGAUGCUGGUGUCCCAGAUCGCGGUGGGAACUCUGAUCGCGGUGAGGUUCGGGACAAGUGGCGUGGGAGAGAUGCCCAGGGGUUAUGCGGCGGCGGUGGUGCUCUUCAUCUGCGUGUACGUGGCAGGCUUCGUGUGGUCGUGGGGGGCGCUGGGGUGGCUGGUGCCGAGCGAGAUCUUCCCGCUGGAGAUUCGGUCGGCGGGGCAGAGCAUCACCGUGUCGGUGAACAUGCUCUUCACCUUCGUCAUCGCGCAGGCCUUCCUCACCAUGCUCUGCCACCUGAAGUUCGGGCUCUUCUACUUCUUCGCCGGCUGGGUGGUGAUCAUGACCGCCUUCGUCGCGCUCUUCCUUCCGGAGACCAAGAACGUGCCCAUGGAGGAGAUGGUGCACGUUUGGAAGGGACACUGGUUCUGGAGCAGGUUCAUCGGAGACGCUGACGACGUCCACACCGGAAAAUAG